RNAcentral lists this ribosomal RNA (2721 nucleotides) under Salmonella enterica subsp. enterica serovar Enteritidis. RNAcentral's name for it is "partial 23S ribosomal RNA". It matches the Rfam family "Bacterial large subunit ribosomal RNA". Lineage: Bacteria; Pseudomonadati; Pseudomonadota; Gammaproteobacteria; Enterobacterales; Enterobacteriaceae. The record is from RNAcentral.
GCGUGCUAAUCUGCGAUAAGCGCCGGUAAGGUGAUAUGAACCGUUAUAACCGGCGAUACCCGAAUGGGGAAACCCAGUGUGACUCGUCACACUAUCAUUAACUGAAUCCAUAGGUUAAUGAGGCGAACCGGGGGAACUGAAACAUCUAAGUACCCCGAGGAAAAGAAAUCAACCGAGAUUCCCCCAGUAGCGGCGAGCGAACGGGGAGGAGCCCAGAGCCUGAAUCAGCAUGUGUGUUAGUGGAAGCGUCUGGAAAGGCGCGCGAUACAGGGUGACAGCCCCGUACACAAAAGCGCAUGUGCUGUGAGCUCGAUGAGUAGGGCGGGACACGUGGUAUCCUGUCUGAAUAUGGGGGGACCAUCCUCCAAGGCUAAAUACUCCUGACUGACCGAUAGUGAACCAGUACCGUGAGGGAAAGGCGAAAAGAACCCCGGCGAGGGGAGUGAAAAAGAACCUGAAACCGUGUACGUACAAGCAGUGGGAGCACCCUUUGGGUGUGACUGCGUACCUUUUGUAUAAUGGGUCAGCGACUUAUAUUCUGUAGCAAGGUUAACCGAAUAGGGGAGCCGGAGGGAAACCGAGUCUUAAUUGGGCGUUAAGUUGCAGGGUAUAGACCCGAAACCCGGUGAUCUAGCCAUGGGCAGGUUGAAGGUUGGGUAACACUAACUGGAGGACCGAACCGACUAAUGUUGAAAAAUUAGCGGAUGACCUGUGGCUGGGGGUGAAAGGCCAAUCAAACCGGGAGAUAGCUGGUUCUCCCCGAAAGCUAUUUAGGUAGCGCCUCGUGAAUUCAUCUCCGGGGGUAGAGCACUGUUUCGGCUAGGGGGCCAUCCCGGCUUACCAACCCGAUGCAAACUGCGAAUACCGGAGAAUGUUAUCACGGGAGACACACGGCGGGUGCUAACGUCCGUCGUGAAGAGGGAAACAACCCAGACCGCCAGCUAAGGUCCCAAAGUCAUGGUUAAGUGGGAAACGAUGUGGGAAGGCCCAGACAGCCAGGAUGUUGGCUUAGAAGCAGCCAUCAUUUAAAGAAAGCGUAAUAGCUCACUGGUCGAGUCGGCCUGCGCGGAAGAUGUAACGGGGCUAAACCAUGCACCGAAGCUGCGGCAGCGACACUGUGUGUUGUUGGGUAGGGGAGCGUUCUGUAAGCCUGUGAAGGUGUGUCGUGAGGCAUGCUGGAGGUAUCAGAAGUGCGAAUGCUGACAUAAGUAACGAUAAAGCGGGUGAAAAGCCCGCUCGCCGGAAGACCAAGGGUUCCUGUCCAACGUUAAUCGGGGCAGGGUGAGUCGACCCCUAAGGCGAGGCCGAAAGGCGUAGUCGAUGGGAAACGGGUUAAUAUUCCCGUACUUGGUGUUACUGCGAAGGGGGGACGGAGAAGGCUAUGUUGGCCGGGCGACGGUUGUCCCGGUUUAAGCGUGUAGGUGUGUGUUCCAGGUAAAUCCGGUUCACUUUAACACUGAGGCGUGACGACGAGGCACUACGGUGCUGAAGCAACAAAUGCCCUGCUUCCAGGAAAAGCCUCUAAGCAUCAGGUAACAUCAAAUCGUACCCCAAACCGACACAGGUGGUCAGGUAGAGAAUACCAAGGCGCUUGAGAGAACUCGGGUGAAGGAACUAGGCAAAAUGGUGCCGUAACUUCGGGAGAAGGCACGCUGACACGUAGGUGAAGUGAUUUACUCAUGGAGCUGAAGUCAGUCGAAGAUACCAGCUGGCUGCAACUGUUUAUUAAAAACACAGCACUGUGCAAACACGAAAGUGGACGUAUACGGUGUGACGCCUGCCCGGUGCCGGAAGGUUAAUUGAUGGGGUCAGCGCAAGCGAAGCUCCUGAUCGAAGCCCCGGUAAACGGCGGCCGUAACUAUAACGGUCCUAAGGUAGCGAAAUUCCUUGUCGGGUAAGUUCCGACCUGCACGAAUGGCGUAAUGAUGGCCAGGCUGUCUCCACCCGAGACUCAGUGAAAUUGAACUCGCUGUGAAGAUGCAGUGUACCCGCGGCAAGACGGAAAGACCCCGUGAACCUUUACUAUAGCUUGACACUGAACAUUGAGCCUUGAUGUGUAGGAUAGGUGGGAGGCUUUGAAGUGUGGACGCCAGUCUGCAUGGAGCCGACCUUGAAAUACCACCCUUUAAUGUUUGAUGUUCUAACGUGGACCCGUUACCCGGGUUGCGGACAGUGUCUGGUGGGUAGUUUGACUGGGGCGGUCUCCUCCUAAAGAGUAACGGAGGAGCACGAAGGUUGGCUAAUCCUGGUCGGACAUCAGGAGGUUAGUGCAAUGGCAUAAGCCAGCUUGACUGCGAGCGUGACGGCGCGAGCAGGUGCGAAAGCAGGUCAUAGUGAUCCGGUGGUUCUGAAUGGAAGGGCCAUCGCUCAACGGAUAAAAGGUACUCCGGGGAUAACAGGCUGAUACCGCCCAAGAGUUCAUAUCGACGGCGGUGUUUGGCACCUCGAUGUCGGCUCAUCACAUCCUGGGGCUGAAGUAGGUCCCAAGGGUAUGGCUGUUCGCCAUUUAAAGUGGUACGCGAGCUGGGUUUAGAACGUCGUGAGACAGUUCGGUCCCUAUCUGCCGUGGGCGCUGGAGAACUGAGGGGGGCUGCUCCUAGUACGAGAGGACCGGAGUGGACGCAUCACUGGUGUUCGGGUUGUCAUGCCAAUGGCACUGCCCGGUAGCUAAAUGCGGAAGAGAUAAGUGCUGAAAGCAUCUAAGCACGAAACUUGCCCCGA